Molecule: ribosomal RNA, 118 nt
Filed under: Danio rerio (zebrafish)
Lineage: Eukaryota; Metazoa; Chordata; Actinopteri; Cypriniformes; Danionidae
Source: RNAcentral
UUAAACAGCCAUAUCACCCUGGAGCCCAAGACCGGUUACUCACUGAGGCUAAGCAGGGCUGAGCCUGGUCAGUACCUGGAUGGGAGACCACAUGAGAAAAACUAGGUUGUUGUUGGAA